UACGGAGGGGGCAAGCGUUGUUCGGAAUUACUGGGCGUAAAGGGCGCGCAGGCGGUUCUGUUAGUCAGAUGUGAAAGCCCCGGGCUUAACCUGGGAAUUGCAUUUGAGACUGCAGGACUAGAGUUCGGGAGAGGGUAGUGGAAUUCCCAGUGUAGAGGUGAAAUUCGUAGAUAUUGGGAAGAACACCAGUGGCGAAGGCGGCUACCUGGACCGAUACUGACGCUGAGGCGCGAAAGCGUGGGGAGCAAACAGGAUUAGAUACCCUGGUAGUCCACGCCGUAAACGAUGUGUGCUAGACGUCGGGGGUUACGCCUUCGGUGUCGCAGCUAACGCAUUAAGCACACCGCCUGGGGAGUACGGUCGCAAGAUUA
RNAcentral lists this ribosomal RNA (371 nucleotides) under uncultured bacterium. RNAcentral describes it as "bacterial SSU rRNA". It matches the Rfam family "Bacterial small subunit ribosomal RNA", at positions 524 to 896 of the family's 1533-position model. The record is from RNAcentral.